Molecule: ribosomal RNA, 452 nt
Filed under: Peptococcus sp. canine oral taxon 044
Lineage: Bacteria; Bacillati; Bacillota; Clostridia; Eubacteriales; Peptococcaceae
Description: bacterial SSU rRNA
Rfam family: Bacterial small subunit ribosomal RNA
Source: RNAcentral
GUUAGUGGAAAUUUUUCGGAAUGGAAGCUAAUGCGUAGCGGCGGAUGGGUGAGUAACGCGUGGAUAACCUGCCUCUAAAUGGGGAAUAACUACGAGAAAUCGUAGCUAAUACCGCAUAAUAUCUCUUUAUUGCAUGAUAGAGAGAGGAAAGACGGCCUUAGCGCUGUCGUUUAGAGAUGGAUCCGCGUCUGAUUAGCUAGUUGGUGAGGUAAGGGCUCACCAAGGCGACGAUCAGUAGCCGGCCUGAGAGGGUGAACGGCCACAUUGGGACUGAGACACGGCCCAAACUCCUACGGGAGGCAGCAGUGGGGAAUCUUCCGCAAUGGGCGCAAGCCUGACGGAGCAAUGCCGCGUGAGUGAAGAAGGCCUUCGGGUUGUAAAACUCUGUCCUUAUCGAAGAGAGAGAAGAGUAGUAACUGACUUUUCUAGGACGUAGAUGAGAGGAGCCCCGC